Molecule: ribosomal RNA, 490 nt
Filed under: uncultured bacterium
Lineage: Bacteria
Description: partial 16S ribosomal RNA
Rfam family: Bacterial small subunit ribosomal RNA
Source: RNAcentral
GUGAACGCUGGCGGUAGGCCUAACACAUGCAAGUCGAACGGCAGCACAGUAAGAGCUUGCUCUUCGGGUGGCGAGUGGCGGACGGGUGAGGAAUACAUCGGAAUCUACUUUUUCGUGGGGGAUAACGUAGGGAAACUUACGCUAAUACCGCAUACGACCUACGGGUGAAAGCAGGGGAUCUUCGGACCUUGCGCGAUUGAAUGAGCCGAUGUUGGAUUAGCUAGUUGGCGGGGUAAAGGCCCACCAAGGCGACGAUCCGUAGCUGGUCUGAGAGGAUGAUCAGCCACACUGGAACUGAGACACGGUCCAGACUCCUACGGGAGGCAGCAGUGGGGAAUAUUGGACAAUGGGCGCAAGCCUGAUCCAGCCAUACCGCGUGGGUGAAGAAGGCCUUCGGGUUGUAAAGCCCUUUUGUUGGGAAAGAAAAGCAGCAGGUUAAUACCCCGCUGUUCUGACGGUACCCAAAGAAUAAGCACCGGCUAACUUCGUG